UGCCCAUGGCUUCUUGCUGCACGUCCCUGUGACCGUGUGCUUCAGGGCUUUCCGUGGCUGCAGAGCCAGGCUUGGCUGACCAAGCUGGAGAGUCAACAGGCCGGAGCAGAACUUUGCCAGCUGGAAGGAACCACGCAGGUCUUGACCCGCCCACUGCGUGAAGCAAUUAUUUUUCUGGACAGCUCCCUGACAUUCCCAAGGAGAGAGAGAAAAUGACAGGCUCUAGUUGGAGUUUAAUCAUCCCGACCCUUCCAUCCUCGGUACCUGCAUCAAGAUGCAACACAAAUCAAAUCUUCAGGAGUCUGGACAUUUUGUUUUUGUGUAACUCAUUAAGCAUUUCCCCAUGUGCUGUGAUAGAUGUUUCUCUCGGCCAGGAAUUUUAUACCAUGUGUGCAUGUCCCUAUUUGGCUCGGCAAAAUCAUUCUCAGGAUAUACAAGCUAAUGAUGCCUGUGGUUUUGAAACUUUAUUGUGAUUAUUUGCAUAGGGCAUUUGGAAAAUCUGUAGACAGGUUAUUAAGAGAUGCUGAGCAAUGGAAACAUUAUUAGGUCCUUAUUAUUGUUCAUUGUACCCAGAUGUUGCGCAUUUCCAGCAUCCCAGAGGAUUAGGAGUGAUGUCAGAUACCCAACUCUUACUUUUCCUUGCAGAUAUUAAGUCUAAAUUUUCCUCAUUAAAAACAAAGCAUUUGCACUGAACAAGUGGCGUGCGCUUGGGCAAAACAUCAGUUCGUAAUAAAGCAGCAUUGGUCAAAUGCGACUUAGAGGCAAAGCUUUGGCUACUGUCGGAAGUUCUGGCCUGAAAAACAGAAGACUAAUGAGGUAUAUGCUCAGGAUGAAAUAAAUCAUCCCAGCAAACAUGCAGAGGGGCAAUUCUAAAGAAAAAGAAAAUUUCUUUUAAUGAAAAGGAAAGCCAGGUAGGGCAAACCUCCUCGCCAAGUGUUAAAAUCUACUAAAUUCCUAGCAAGGGCCAGGCACUCUGCCCACGGCGAUCAGAAGGCUUUUGCCUAUUAGUCCUUUAAGACACAACAUGGGGAAAUAAUAGU
This is a long non-coding RNA of Canis lupus familiaris (dog), 1040 nucleotides long. RefSeq lists it as uncharacterized. The transcript is spliced from 3 exons. The record is from RefSeq and is a predicted model, not a curated record. Lineage: Eukaryota; Metazoa; Chordata; Mammalia; Carnivora; Canidae.